UACAGAGGGUGCUAGCGUUGUUCGGAAUUAUUGGGCGUAAAGCGCGUGUAGGCGGCCAAGUAAGUCGGGUGUGAAAGCCCUCGGCUUAACCGAGGAAGUGCGCCCGAAACUACUUGGCUUGAGUACCGGAGAGGGUGGCGGAAUUCCCGGUGUAGAGGUGAAAUUCGUAGAUAUCGGGAGGGAACACCAGUGGCGAAGGCGGCC
This 204-nucleotide ribosomal RNA is filed under the name uncultured bacterium. RNAcentral's name for it is "partial 16S ribosomal RNA". It matches the Rfam family "Bacterial small subunit ribosomal RNA", at positions 524 to 726 of the family's 1533-position model. The record is from RNAcentral.